CGAGUUUCCAACAAUUUUGCACUCCCCCCCCAUUUCCAAGGUUUACCAUCACCCUUUCCAUAUUUGAAUCCCCUACAUAUGCUUCUCCGGUAUUGAGAACAGUAAACACUAAGGUCUCAAUCAUGAAUUCCUUCCUCAUUCUUCUAUUGGGGAAGGGGUAAGUAUGCCCCUUCUACAGGGAAUUCAGCUUCCCAAACAGUUCACACCCCAGUACAUGCAGAUACCCUAGGCUUGGCACUGGCUGCUGGCUCAUUGGGAGCCAUCUGAGAUUCAGCUCUGCCAACAUCUUACCAACAAUCCCCUCUCAGAAUUACAAUAUGUUUAUGGUCCACUUCACAAUUUCCCCACCUUCCAGGGAGAUCUAAAGAUUGUGAGCAAACCCCAGCUUCAGUGGGAGACUGAAAUUAAGCAUGUUUUUGUGGUUUCCUCUCCCCUUCGGUCUUAUUAAGAUCAGCUCAGAACUACCAGCAACACAGUUGCCUUGUGACCUCUUGUCUGGCUAGUCCCAACUACUCCCAUUAAAGUUCCAAGACUCAGGGCUGGUCUAUCCUGAACAGGUACGAUGGCAUAGCUACAUCUCUAAAGGGUGGGAAAAAUCCACACCCCGAGAAAUACAGUUAAACCAACCUGACCCCUGGCAUCAACAGUGCUACGUUGAUGGAAGAAUACUUCCACUGACCUAGCUACCAUCUCUUCGGACGGUCGAUUAACGACAGUGACAGGAGAACCCCUUCCAUUGCUGUUGUAAGUGUUUACAGUUACACUGUAUGUCUUGAAGCCCUCAGCAGGCCACUGCACAAGCAGCAGGAGGCUGCAUGAGAGGAGAGUUCAAAGAAAUAGGAGAUAAAAAAGGCUGCUUUCAUUUUUUUUUAGAAGAAUAAAGAGAUUUCACCAAAAAUGUGUUGAAAGAAGCAGAGGAUUUGCACCGAGCCAGAGCUAAUGCUGCAUGAAAUAGAACCAAAUAUGUGAAUGUGAAAAGGGAGAGGAAGAGGCCUAAUUCUGCCUUCAGAUGCCUGCAUGUGACUCUCCUUCAUGACUGCAAGCACCUCACAAACUCGGUGGGAGGAGAUCAAAGGUCACUACCACCUGAUGGCUACUUGUUGGCCUGUGUGAAAAUGAGCUCAGUGAUGUUUCUACUAACCAAAUACCUGCAACACAAAAAACAGUCACAAAUAGCCUCCUCGGUGGCCGUCUCAGCAUAAAAAAGUAUAAUCACCUUCCCACCACAGCAGUGGCCACUCCAGAUCAGGAUUGAAACUUCCAGUCAUAACCUAUAGUAUGUGUUCGGUGUAUCAGGGCACCUUACAUCAGCACUGAAUUCUCUCGUAAAUGAAUUGCAGCAUGACAUUCCCGUCUCAGACUGGGAGUCAUUCUUGCUUUCGGCAUCUAAUGUUUAUCAUUAUUUUCUUGCAGCCUUAAUCUUUU
RNAcentral lists this long non-coding RNA (1425 nucleotides) under Gopherus agassizii (Agassiz's desert tortoise). Its description in RNAcentral is "lncRNA (ENSGAGG00000008121.1)". Lineage: Eukaryota; Metazoa; Chordata; Testudines; Testudinidae. The record is from RNAcentral.